GGGAAUUAGCUCAGUUGGGAGAGCGCUUGACUGGCAGUCAAGAGGCCAGGGGUUCAAGUCCCCUAUUCUCC
This 71-nucleotide transfer RNA is filed under the name Anaerococcus rubeinfantis. It matches the Rfam family "tRNA". From Rfam's summary of the family: Transfer RNA (tRNA) molecules are approximately 80 nucleotides in length. Their secondary structure includes four short double-helical elements and three loops (D, anti-codon, and T loops). Further hydrogen bonds mediate the characteristic L-shaped molecular structure. tRNAs have two regions of fundamental functional importance: the anti-codon, which is responsible for specific mRNA codon recognition, and the 3' end, to which the tRNAs corresponding amino acid is attached (by aminoacyl-tRNA synthetases). tRNAs cope with the degeneracy of the genetic code in two manners: having more than one tRNA (with a specific anti-codon) for a particular amino acid; and 'wobble' base-pairing, i.e. permitting non-standard base-pairing at the 3rd anti-codon position. The record is from RNAcentral. Lineage: Bacteria; Bacillati; Bacillota; Tissierellia; Tissierellales; Peptoniphilaceae.